GAAGAGGAGCCCUAAGAAGGAUCGCGCAUUUCCUGCAGGUCCGAAAGCCAUCGUCCAGGUGGAUUUCCUUCUAAGACAAGCUGAGAGGUGAUGGUGGUACGUCCAGGCAUUUGACAUCGACCUCUUUGUCCAGCAGGUGAUGUGGUGUUUGGGGCAUUGGACU
Molecule: long non-coding RNA, 163 nt
Organism: Tupaia belangeri chinensis (Chinese tree shrew)
Lineage: Eukaryota; Metazoa; Chordata; Mammalia; Scandentia; Tupaiidae
Exons: 3
Source: RefSeq, a predicted model, not a curated record